CCGUUCAGAGGUAAACGGGUGUAGUCAAGCUGCAAGCCCUGGGAAAUUGGCGGAUCAGAAUGGCGUGGAGCCUUGGGCAUUUAGAGUUGGUGAUGAGUCUGUCUAGUAAGGCAGGUUCGGCUCGCAAGGGUCGGAUGUGUGAAGUGUCUUUUGAUGCUGCAUGCUCGUUAUCGGCUGCUCUGCUGGUCCGUUGACUUUCUCAGGGCGUAUGUCACGACCGUCGUUGCUGUCGGAGUGCUUCGUCUUAACCGUAGCGUAAGUAGCCUUGUGUUUCUUGCGUUGCGGAGGCAGGUAGCUGGUCUGGUUUCGGCUGGGCUGGUGUAAUCGCUGGGCGAAGUGGUAUCUGUGCAGUGCGGCGGGGCUGGCGGUGCGUGGUACUGGGUGUGCUAAAGUGCGUCGGCAUGGCGUGGGUCUGGCUGCAUGUUGCUACUUCGGUGGCCUUGUAGUGGCUCUGCUGUGGUUUGAUGUGCGGCGGCAUCUGGUCACCUUCGCGUUGUGCCNAUAGUCUGUGGCGUAGU
RNAcentral lists this ribosomal RNA (518 nucleotides) under Gotocotyla sp. JJ1. Its description in RNAcentral is "partial 28S ribosomal RNA". Lineage: Eukaryota; Metazoa; Platyhelminthes; Monogenea; Mazocraeidea; Gotocotylidae. The record is from RNAcentral.